RNAcentral lists this ribosomal RNA (699 nucleotides) under uncultured bacterium. RNAcentral describes it as "bacterial SSU rRNA". It matches the Rfam family "Bacterial small subunit ribosomal RNA", at positions 8 to 704 of the family's 1533-position model. The record is from RNAcentral.
AGAGUUUGAUCCUGGCUCAGAAUGAACGUUGGCGGCAUGGAUUAGGCAUGCAAGUCGAGCGAGAAGUUUAAGUUUGACGCUUCGGUUGAUUUCUUAAACGGAAAGCGGCGCAAGGGAGAGUAACGCGUAGUUAUCUACCCCGAGGUCCGGAAUAGCUGCGGGAAACUGCAGGUAAUGCCGGAUAAUAUCCCCGGAUCAAAGGUGUGAUUCCGCCUUGGGAGGAGACUGCGUACUACUAGCUUGUUGGUGGGGUAAUGGCCUACCAAGGCUUUGAUGGUUAGCGGGCGUGAGAGCGUGGCCCGUCUCACUGGGACUGAAACACUGCCCAGACACCUACGGGUGGCUGCAGUCGAGAAUCUUCGGCAAUGGGCGAAAGCCUGACCGAGCGAUGCCGCGUGCGGGAUGAAGGCCUUCGGGUUGUAAACCGCUGUCAGUUGGGAGGAAGGCUCCGUGAAGAGCGGAGCUUGACCUAUCUUCAGAGGAAGUCCGGGCUAAGUUCGUGCCAGCAGCCGCGGUAACACGAACCGGACAAACGUUAUUCGGAAUUAUUGGGCUUAAAGGGUGCGUAGGCGGCGCGGUAAGUGAGGUGUGAAAUCCCACGACUCAAUCGUGGAACUGCGCUUCAAACUACCGUGCUAGAGGGAGACAGAGGUAAGCGGAACUGAUGGUGGAGCGGUGAAAUGCGUUGAUAUUAUCAGG